RNAcentral lists this ribosomal RNA (468 nucleotides) under uncultured bacterium. RNAcentral describes it as "partial 16S ribosomal RNA". It matches the Rfam family "Bacterial small subunit ribosomal RNA", at positions 28 to 507 of the family's 1533-position model. The record is from RNAcentral.
GAUGAACGCUGGCGGCGUGCUUAACACAUGCAAGUCGAACGGAAAGGCCAUGCUUUUGUGGGGUUCUCGAGUGGCGAACGGGUGAGCAACACGUGAGUAUCCUGCCCUUGACUUUGGGAUAACUUCAGGAAACUGGGGCUAAUACCGGAUAGGAGCUCCUGCUGCAUGGUGGGGGUUGGAAAGUUUCGGCGGUUGGGGAUGGACUGGCGGCUUAUGAGCUUGUUGGUGGGGUAGUCGCAUACCAAGGCUUUGACGGAUAGCCGGCCUGAGAGCGUGACCGGCCACAAUAGGACUAAGAGAGGGACCAGACUGCUACGGGAGGCAACAGUGGAGAGUAUUGCACAGUGGGCGGAAGCCUGAUGCAGCAACGCCGCGUGCGGGAUGACCGCCUUCGGGGUGAGAACCGCUUUCGCCUGUGACGAAGCGUGCGUGACGGUAAUGAGUAAAGAAGCACCGGCUAACUACGUG